Molecule: unclassified non-coding RNA, 337 nt
Filed under: soil metagenome
Description: partial contains 5.8S ribosomal RNA, internal transcribed spacer 2, and large subunit ribosomal RNA
Rfam family: 5.8S ribosomal RNA (bases 1-120)
Source: RNAcentral
GAUGAAGAACGUAGCGAAAUGCGAUAAGUAGUGUGAAUUGCAGAAUUCAGUGAAUCAUCGAAUCUUUGAACGCACAUUGCGCCCCUUGGUAUUCCAUGGGGCAUGCCUGUUCGAGCGUCAUUUGUACCUUCAAGCUCUGCUUGGUGUUGGGUGUUUGUCUCGCCUCUGCGUGUAGACUCGCCUUAAAACAAUUGGCAGCCGGCGUAUUGAUUUCGGAGCGCAGUACAUCUCGCGCUUUGCACUCAUAACGACGACGUCCAAAAGUACAUUUUUACACUCUUGACCUCGGAUCAGGUAGGGAUACCCGCUGAACUUAAGCAUAUCAAUAAGCGGGGGA